Molecule: ribosomal RNA, 536 nt
Filed under: Cryptosporidium ryanae
Lineage: Eukaryota; Apicomplexa; Conoidasida; Eucoccidiorida; Cryptosporidiidae
Description: SSU rRNA
Rfam family: Eukaryotic small subunit ribosomal RNA
Source: RNAcentral
AGGGUAUUGGCCUACCGUGGCUAUGACGGGUAACGGGGAAUUAGGGUUCGAUUCCGGAGAGGGAGCCUGAGAAACGGCUACCACAUCUAAGGAAGGCAGCAGGCGCGCAAAUUACCCAAUCCUAAUACAGGGAGGUAGUGACAAGAAAUAACAAUACAGAGCCUUACGGUUUUGUAAUUGGAAUGAGUUAAGUAUAAACCCCUUAACAAGUAUCAAUUGGAGGGCAAGUCUGGUGCCAGCAGCCGCGGUAAUUCCAGCUCCAAUAGCGUAUAUUAAAGUUGUUGCAGUUAAAAAGCUCGUAGUUAAUUUUCUGUUAAUUUUUAUAUACAAUGYYACGGUAUUUAUAUAAUAUUAACAUAAUUCAUAUUACUUUUUAGUAUAUGAAACUUUACUUUGAGAAAAUUAGAGUGCUUAAAGCAGGCUAUUGCCUUGAAUACUCCAGCAUGGAAUAAUAUUAAGGAUUUUUAUUCUUCUUAUUGGUUCUAGAAUAAAAAUAAUGAUUAAUAGGGACAGUUGGGGGCAUUUGUAUUUAACAG